GCCUGGGUGGCUCAGUCGGUUAAGCGUCCGACUUCAGCUCAGGUCAUGAUCUCACGUUUCGUGGGUUCAAGCCCCACAUCGGGCU
Molecule: transfer RNA, 85 nt
Organism: Felis catus (domestic cat)
Lineage: Eukaryota; Metazoa; Chordata; Mammalia; Carnivora; Felidae
Rfam family: tRNA
About the family: Transfer RNA (tRNA) molecules are approximately 80 nucleotides in length. Their secondary structure includes four short double-helical elements and three loops (D, anti-codon, and T loops).
Source: Rfam